RNAcentral lists this ribosomal RNA (459 nucleotides) under Salmonella enterica subsp. enterica serovar Kentucky. RNAcentral's name for it is "bacterial SSU rRNA". It matches the Rfam family "Bacterial small subunit ribosomal RNA", at positions 1 to 456 of the family's 1533-position model. The record is from RNAcentral. Lineage: Bacteria; Pseudomonadati; Pseudomonadota; Gammaproteobacteria; Enterobacterales; Enterobacteriaceae.
AAAUUGAAGAGUUUGAUCAUGGCUCAGAUUGAACGCUGGCGGCAGGCCUAACACAUGCAAGUCGAACGGUAACAGGAAGCAGCUUGCUGCUUUGCUGACGAGUGGCGGACGGGUGAGUAAUGUCUGGGAAACUGCCUGAUGGAGGGGGAUAACUACUGGAAACGGUGGCUAAUACCGCAUAACGUCGCAAGACCAAAGAGGGGGACCUUCGGGCCUCUUGCCAUCAGAUGUGCCCAGAUGGGAUUAGCUUGUUGGUGAGGUAACGGCUCACCAAGGCGACGAUCCCUAGCUGGUCUGAGAGGAUGACUAGCCACACUGGAACUGAGACACGGUCCAGACUCCUACGGGAGGCAGCAGUGGGGAAUAUUGCACAAUGGGCGCAAGCCUGAUGCAGCCAUGCCGCGUGUAUGAAGAAGGCCUUCGGGUUGUAAAGUACUUUCAGCGGGGAGGAAGGUGUUG